AGGGCGCUUUGGCGUUGGCAGCGGUCCAAGUUCCUUGGAACAGGACGUCACAGAGGGUGAGAAUCCCGUACGUGGUCGCUGGCCUUCGCCGUGUAAAGCCCCUUCGACGAGUCGAGUUGUUUGGGAAUGCAGCUCUAAAUGGGAGGUAAAUUUCUUCUAAAGCUAAAUACUGGCCAGAGACCGAUAGCGCACAAGUAGAGUGAUCGAAAGAUGAAAAGCACUUUGGAAAGAGAGUCAAAUAGCACGUGAAAUUGUUGAAAGGGAAGCGCUUGCAGCCAGACUUGCCUGUAGUUGCUCAUCCGGGCUUCUGCCCGGUGCACUCUUCUAUAGGCAGGCCAGCAUCAGUUUGGGCGGUUGGAUAAAGGUCUCUGUCAUGUACCUCUCUUCGGGGAGGCCUUAUAGGGGAGACGACAUGCAACCAGCCUGGACUGAGGUCCGCGCAUUUUGCUAGGAUGCUGGCGUAAUGGCUGUAAGCGGCCCGUCUUGAAACACGGACCAAGGAGUCUAACAUCUAUGCGAGUGUUUGGGUGUCAAGCCCGAACGCGUAAUGAAAGUGAACGGAGGUGGGAACCCUUUAGGGCGCACCAUCGACCGAUCCUGAUGUCUUCGGAAGGAUUUGAGUAAGAGCAUGGCUGUUGGGACCCGAAAGAUGGUGAACUAUGCUUGAAUAGGGUGAAGCCAGAGGAAACUCUGGUGGAGGCUCGCAGCGGUUCUGACGUGCAAAUCGAU
RNAcentral lists this ribosomal RNA (729 nucleotides) under Plenodomus sinensis. Its description in RNAcentral is "partial 28S ribosomal RNA". It matches the Rfam family "Eukaryotic large subunit ribosomal RNA", at positions 156 to 902 of the family's 3401-position model. The record is from RNAcentral. Lineage: Eukaryota; Fungi; Ascomycota; Dothideomycetes; Pleosporales; Leptosphaeriaceae.